This 497-nucleotide ribosomal RNA is filed under the name uncultured bacterium. RNAcentral describes it as "partial 16S ribosomal RNA". It matches the Rfam family "Bacterial small subunit ribosomal RNA", at positions 28 to 507 of the family's 1533-position model. The record is from RNAcentral.
GAUGAACGCUGGCGGCGUGCCUAAUACAUGCAAGUCGAGCGAACGGACGAGAAGCUUUCUUCUCUGAUGUUAGCGUCGGACGGGUGAGUAACACGUGGAUAACCUACUUAUAAGACUGGGAUAACUUCGGGAAACCGGAGCUAAUUCCGGAUUAUAUUUUGAACCGCAUGGUUCAAAAGUUAAAGACGGUCUUGCUGUCUCUUAUAGAUGCAUCCUCGCUGCAUUAGCUAGUUGGUAAGGUAACGGCUUACCAAGGCAACGAUUCAUAGCCGACCUGAGAGGGUGAUCGGCCACACUGGAACUGAGACACGGUCCAGACUCCUACGGGAGGCAGCAGUAGGGAAUCUUCCGCAAUGGGCGAAAGCCUGACGGAGCAACGCCGCGUGAGUGAUGAAGGUCUUCGGAUCGUAAAACUCUGUUAUUAGGGAAGAACAGAUGUGUAAGUAAAAGUGCAGAUCUUGACGGUACCUAAUCAGAAAGCCACGGCUAACUACGUG